CUGGCUCAGGACGAACGCUGGCGGCGUGCUUAACACAUGCAAGUCGAACGGAAAGGCCCUGCUUUUGUGGGGUGCUCGAGUGGCGAACGGGUGAGUAACACGUGAGUAACCUGCCCUUGACUUUGGGAUAACUUCAGGAAACUGGGGCUAAUACCGGAUAGGAGCUCCUGCUGCAUGGUGGGGGUUGGAAAGUUUCGGCGGUUGGGGAUGGACUCGCGGCUUAUCAGCUUGUUGGUGGGGUAGUGGCUUACCAAGGCUUUGACGGGUAGCCGGCCUGAGAGGGUGACCGGCCACAUUGGGACUGAGAUACGGCCCAGACUCCUACGGGAGGCAGCAGUGGGGAAUAUUGCACAAUGGGCGGAAGCCUGAUGCAGCAACGCCGCGUGCGGGAUGACGGCCUUCGGGUUGUAAACCGCUUUCGCCUGUGACGAAGCGUGAGUGACGGUAAUGGGUAAAGAAGCACCGGCUAACUACGUGCCAGCAGCCGCGGUGAUACGUAGGGUGCGAGCGUUGUCCGGAUUUAUUGGGCGUAAAGGGCUCGUAGGUGGUUGAUCGCGUCGGAAGUGUAAUCUUGGGGCUUAACCCUGAGCGUGCUUUCGAUACGGGUUGACUUGAGGAAGGUAGGGGAGAAUGGAAUUCCUGGUGGAGCGGUGGAAUGCGCAGAUAUCAGGAGGAACACCAGUGGCGAAGGCGGUUCUCUGGGCCUUUCCUGACGCUGAGGAGCGAAAGCGUGGGGUGCGAACAGGCUUAGAUACCCUGGUAGUCCACGCUGUAAACGGUGGGUACUAGGUGUGGGGUCCAUUCCACGGGUUCCGUGCCGUAGCUAACGCUUUAAGUACCCCGCCUGGGGAGUACGGCCGCAAGGCUAAAACUCAAAGGAAUUGACGGGGCCCUGCACAAGCGGCGGAGCAUGCGGAUUAAUUCGAUGCAACGCGUAGAACCUUACCUGGGUUUGACAUGGAUCGGGAGUGCUCAGAGAUGGGUGUGCCUCUUUUGGGGUCGGUUCACAGGUGGUGCAUGGCUGUCGUCAGCUCGUGUCGUGAGAUGUUGGGUUAAGUCCCGCAACGAGCGCAACCCUUGUUCACUGUUGCCAGCACGUUAUGGUGGGGACUCAGUGGAGACCGCCGGGGUCAACUCGGAGGAAGGUGGGGAUGACGUCAAGUCAUCAUGCCCCUUAUGUCCAGGGCUUCACGCAUGCUACAAUGGCUGGUACAGAGAGUGGCGAGCCUGUGAGGGUGAGCGAAUCUCGGAAAGCCGGUCUCAGUUCGGAUUGGGGUCUGCAACUCGACCUCAUGAAGUCGGAGUCGCUAGUAAUCGCAGAUCAGCAACGCUGCGGUGAAUACGUUCCCGGGGCUUGUACACACCGCCCGUCAAGUCAUGAAAGUUGGUAACACCCGAAGCCGGUGGCCUAACCGUUGUGGGGGAGCCGUCGAAGGUGGGACUGGUGAUUAGGACUAAG
RNAcentral lists this ribosomal RNA (1459 nucleotides) under uncultured bacterium. RNAcentral's name for it is "bacterial SSU rRNA". It matches the Rfam family "Bacterial small subunit ribosomal RNA". The record is from RNAcentral.